AGUAACUAUUAUAUUCUAAAAGUUGUAUGAUAAGAAUUCAAUUAACCAUAUACGUGCUAUAAUUAUUUGUGCUAUGAAUAGUAGCUGGUGAUGUAGGAUUCAUUUUCCGAUUUACAAGAGAGAUUUACAAAAGAGAGGAAAUAUCAAUUAAUUUUUUUACGUUCUAUAAUAGAUUUGUCCUUGGACAUUAAAAAUAUCAUCAAGGGCAAUGAAUAUGUCUUAACAUAUGGGAUCAAUUGUUGUAUCAAAUUCAAAAAACCACCAUUUGAAAAAUUUGACCCUGGCUAAGAUAAACAUCAGUGAACAAUAUAUUAUAAGGAAAACUCUGUACAAGAUACUAGAAAUGCUAAAAGAUGACCAAGAAGCUUUUACACAAGUCAGGCUAUUAGACAACAAUCCCUUGUAAUACAGAGAAAGACUUGGAACACUCUAUAAUGGAAUAGCUUAGAUUUGCAAACAUCCGUAAACAAAGGAAAAAAUCUUAAAAGCAACUGUUUGGUAAAGAUCCGGAAAGAUUAAUAAUCUGUUUAAAAGGAAAGAAUAAGAGUUUG
Molecule: long non-coding RNA, 551 nt
Organism: Temnothorax curvispinosus
Lineage: Eukaryota; Metazoa; Arthropoda; Insecta; Hymenoptera; Formicidae
Exons: 4
Source: RefSeq, a predicted model, not a curated record